Molecule: long non-coding RNA, 725 nt
Organism: Neopsephotus bourkii (Bourke's parrot)
Lineage: Eukaryota; Metazoa; Chordata; Aves; Psittaciformes; Psittacidae
Exons: 4
Source: RefSeq, a predicted model, not a curated record
UGUGAGUGCCUUUUUAAAGGCCUGGUUUCUUCCAGAGCAAGGAUCAGCCAGGUGCCUGGAUCUGACCCAUGAACAAUAGAAAGGGACAAAGGAAAAUCUGUAACAGAACUUAUCUCACUUAACACCUGUCUGAUUCCACCAUUUCUUCUAUGUGAACACUACCAGCUCCUUCAGACUUGUUUCUUCUGCUGUGGUAGAGCCUUAACAGCCUUCUAAAGCAUAACAACAAAAGUGCAGGACCUUAACAUCUUUGAGACAGCUGUCAAGUGUGAGUUCACUUUUGAAGCCAUACUUCCUAAGGAUUUUACGUCUGCUGGCACUCGACAAAAAGGGAGGAAUUGAAGCUGCUCACCAUUCUCAGUGCUUCCUCUGGACUACAAGCUAAGUCUCAAAGGGGUCUCACAAGCUCAUCUUGUUUCUUCACCCACCCCAGAGCAGGAUUAACUACACCUGUUUGUCUAACCUUUUACGAAAACCUCCCUUUGAUGGAAACAUCACUAUCUCCCCAGGCAAUUCAUUCAAUACCCCUGCAGCUACAAAAUUUGUCCAUGCUGUUUAACCUAUAUUUCAUUUGGUAUACUUUAGGUAUAUCUUUGUCUGCCCUGAUUGAAGGGAUCAUGGCUGCACAGACUGCUCUCUUCCAUUUGCUGUUUUUGUAACUAAUAGGCUAUGUAUUGACUCUUUUCUGGGUUAUGUACUUUUCUGGGCUAAGCCAGUCCUUACAC